AGUUUGUCUUUCACUACGCAUUGAGUGGAGAAGCUUGGAAUCUUGUAUUUGACCGUAAGACAGCUUUUACUUAUAAGAAAGAUUAUGGGAAAGAUGAUGGAACGGCUAAUGUAACCAUCUCUAAGAGAAGUCGUUCUGCAGAAGAACUCAGUGGAAGUGGCGCUUCUUGGAUCACUGAACAAACCAGGAGGCGUGCAGAAAAUGCCAGGCGGUUUGGAGGGGUACACUCGUCGUCAAGCAUUUAGAAUCGGUGAUCAAGCUCAAACAAAUUGACCCAAAGAUGAUCGGUGCAGCUCACACCAUUUAAAACACUCAUGAUUUUUACCUAACUCAAAAUCUAUAUAUAUAUAAAAUAAUAGCAAACCAUUUUUUUGGGACUGCUGAUGUCAUCUUUAUAAUCGAACGGUUGAGGUUUGUCUUUUUCUUAAUCUAAGGGCUGUGGUUUUUCUUUCUCUCAAAAAUUCGCUAAAACUCACUAAACCUAAGGAUAUGUCUUUCAAUCGCGACAUUUUGUUCACGUCUAAUGUGAAG
Molecule: non-coding RNA, 531 nt
Organism: Camelina sativa (false flax)
Lineage: Eukaryota; Viridiplantae; Streptophyta; Magnoliopsida; Brassicales; Brassicaceae
Source: RefSeq, a predicted model, not a curated record